This is a long non-coding RNA of Jaculus jaculus (lesser Egyptian jerboa), 982 nucleotides long. RefSeq lists it as uncharacterized. NCBI's taxonomy places the organism in Eukaryota, Metazoa, Chordata, Mammalia, Rodentia, Dipodidae. The transcript is spliced from 3 exons. The record is from RefSeq and is a predicted model, not a curated record.
AGGCCUUCGGCUCCGCGCCUGCUCGUCCCUCGCCGGGCCUCCUCCUCGGGCCUCGUGCGCCGGCGUCCCUGACUUCUUCCUUGGCGUCCUCUCCCACCCAGGCCGCCCCCCGAUGUCUCCUCCCUCCUCCUCCCUUCCCCGGCCUCUCCCACAGAUCUGCGCCUUCCUUCCCCGGCCUCUUUCCAGGGCCGCCCUUCCCUGGCUCCAGCCUCAGUCCCGGUCCUUGGCUUUCCUGCUCCCUCAGGCCUCGGCUUCCUCCCAAACCUCCUCCCUUCCUCGUCCAGCCUCCCGCUGGUCGCUCUCUGGUCCUGGUCUGGGAGCCGCUUCUCUGGGUUUCCGUGGGCUGACGCCAGGGUACAGGACGGCAGGAGAGGCCUGCCCUGGCCCCCAGCGGUGCCGCCUGCUCGCGUGGGUCCUUAGGAUCUGUGUCUGCCAACAAGCCUGCGAUCAGCCCUUAUUCCUAACUUGGGACGGCAGGGUGUGGGUUUAGCCACCACGCACCACUGUCGCUUAUUCCUUUUGGAUGUGCUUUCGUGUUGUUUGGGGCAGUUUUUAGUUCACAGUGAAAUUUGAGUAGAGAGUGAUGUCUCUGUCCACACGGCCAUCUCUGACUUGGGGUUCCUAUGCAUGGUGGGAUGGCUUCCACUUUAAUUAGCUCCAUCAUGAUGCCAGCUGCGAAUGUAUUCUGUAGGCUGGAUGAAGAUACGGUGACAUUGUCUCCAGCAUGGCACCUCACAGCAUGAUCUCUGCCACAAAGCUCCUUUCAGGUGGCUGACCUUUACAUCCCAUAACCACUGUGUGGUGGAGAGGGUGGAAUGGGGCAGUCUACAAAGAUGGAGCCAAGGGCACUUCAGAACCCUCUGACCUCUGUUCCAACUGUGGUAUUGGUUUGGCAGGCUAUCUUGUCUCUGCAGACCUCUCAACCAGACAUAGAGAAAAAGAGGCAAAGAGAGAGAGGAAAAAUGGACACACCUGGGCAUCU